This 898-nucleotide ribosomal RNA is filed under the name Claxtonia mauccii. Its description in RNAcentral is "SSU rRNA". It matches the Rfam family "Eukaryotic small subunit ribosomal RNA", at positions 142 to 949 of the family's 1831-position model. Lineage: Eukaryota; Metazoa; Tardigrada; Heterotardigrada; Echiniscoidea; Echiniscidae. The record is from RNAcentral.
GAUAACUGUGGUAAUUCUAGAGCUAAUACAUGCAGCAAGCCUUGACCCUCACGGGCAAGGCGCAGUUAUUAGAUCAAAAACCAAUCGGUUGUACUUUCGGGUAUAGCCGUUACUUUGGUGACUCUGAGUAACCACAGCGAACCGUAUGGCCUCGUGCUCGACGGUCUGUCAGUCAAGCAACUGCCUUAUCAGCUUGUUGUUAGGUUAUAUGCCUAACAAGGCUUCAACGGGUAACGAACGAUCGGGGUCGGAUAUCGGAGAGGGAGCUUGAGAAACGGCUACCACUUCCAAGGAAGGCAGCAGGCGCGCAAAUUACCCACUCUCGGCAUGAGGAGGUAGCAAUAAAAUGUAUCGAUGCGGGGCCUUUAGUGCCUUCGUAAUCGGAAUGAGUACACUUUAAAUCCUAUAACAAGGACCUAUUGGAGGGCAAGUCUGGUGCCAGCAGCCGCGGUAAUUCCAGCUCCAAUAGCGUAUAUUAAUGCUGCUGCGGUUAAAAAGCUCGUAGUCGGAUCUGGGUUACCGGCGGGUACCGCAUGUUGCUUCAUGCAGCAUGUUGUGUACUAUACGCGUCGCUUCGGUGGCGCUGCCAGUGUAAUGCUGUCUCAUGUAGGCACGUUAUGCUGGUCGCCGGAACCACGGGCCGGGUUGAGCAGCAUGCUCUUAACUGAGUGUGUUGUUUACUCGGUGCGUUUACUUUGAAAAAAUUGGAGUGCUCAAAGCAAGCGUACAGUCGCUAUGCGGCUUGAACAGUGGUGCAUGGAAUAAUGGAAUAGGGCCUCGGUUCUAUUUUGUUGGUUUUAAGAUAUCGAGGUAAUGAUUAAGAGGGACAGACGGGGACGUUUGUAUUGCGACGUUAGAGGUGAAAUUCUUGGAUCGUCGCAAGACACACUAAUGCGAA